RNAcentral lists this ribosomal RNA (305 nucleotides) under uncultured bacterium. RNAcentral describes it as "bacterial SSU rRNA". It matches the Rfam family "Bacterial small subunit ribosomal RNA", at positions 333 to 655 of the family's 1533-position model. The record is from RNAcentral.
CGCGGCCUACGGGAGGCAGCAGUAGGGAAUCUUUCACAAUGGGCGAAAGCCUGAUGGAGCAACGCCGCGUGCAGGAUGAAGGCCUUCGGGUUGUAAACUGCUUUUAUAAGCGAGAAAUAUAAUGGUAACUUAUGAAUAAGGAUCGGCUAACUCCGUGCCAGCAGCCGCGGUAAUACGGAGGGUGCAAGCGUUACUCGGAAUCACUGGGCGUAAAGAGCGCGUAGGCGGGAUAGCAAGUCAGAUGUGAAAUCCUAUGGCUUAACCAUAGAACUGCAUUUGAAACUGUUAUUCUAGAGUAUGGGAGG